RNAcentral lists this ribosomal RNA (253 nucleotides) under uncultured bacterium. RNAcentral describes it as "partial 16S ribosomal RNA". It matches the Rfam family "Bacterial small subunit ribosomal RNA", at positions 524 to 776 of the family's 1533-position model. The record is from RNAcentral.
UACGUAGGGUGCGAACGUUGUUCGGAAUCACUGGGCAUAAAGAGCGCGUAGGCGGUCUAAUAAGUCGGGUGUGAAAUCCCCGGGCUCAACCUGGGAACUGCAUCCGAGACUGCAUUGCUAGAGUAUGGGAGAGGGAAGCGGAAUUUCUGGUGUAGCAGUGAAAUGCGUAGAUAUCGGAAGGAACAUCAGUGGCGAAAGCGGCUUCCUGGACCAGCACCGACGUUCAGGCACGAAAGCGUGGGGAGCAAACAGG